RNAcentral lists this ribosomal RNA (385 nucleotides) under uncultured bacterium. Its description in RNAcentral is "bacterial SSU rRNA". It matches the Rfam family "Bacterial small subunit ribosomal RNA", at positions 30 to 416 of the family's 1533-position model. The record is from RNAcentral.
AUUGAACGCUGGCGGCAUGCUUUACACAUGCAAGUCGAACGGCAGCACGGGGCAACCCUGGUGGCGAGUGGCGAACGGGUGAGUAAUAUAUCGGAACGUACCCGGAAAUGGGGGAUAACGUAGCGAAAGUUACGCUAAUACCGCAUAUGCCCUAAGGGGAAAGCGGGGACUCGCAAGAACCUCGCGUUUUCGGAGCGGCCGAUAUCGGAUUAGCUAGUAGGUGAGGUAAAGGCUCACCUAGGCGACGAUCCGUAGCUGGUCUGAGAGGACGACCAGCCACACUGGAACUGAGACACGGUCCAGACUCCUACGGGAGGCAGCAGUGGGGAAUUUUGGACAAUGGGCGCAAGCCUGAUCCAGCCAUGCCGCGUGAGUGAAGAAGGCC